AAGAUUGUUGGCGCAGCCCUAGAACUACAUUUCUCUUACACUUGCUCGGACGUAGGUGGAAGGAGAGGGACAUAGAUAUUUCCGGCGCACAUACGCCCCGCCGCACGAACGGCUUAAUAUUUUCAUUCAGCACGAACUCUGGCUAGGCACGUACCGCAGCCACACCCACACGAAAGACUACGAGAGACUACAUCUCUCCUAGCUCCUCUCUCUUGACCUCGUAGCCGAGUACACUUUAUAUAGCACAUCCACGCACACAGGCCAGUGGCCAUACACACCUAACUCACGCACGCAUGCACCACAACGGCCACUACCGCAUGACCCGGCCACCACGUUGGCACCUACUUCCUGGAAUAUCUCCAUGACCCAGCUAAGCAACUAACAGCCAUACAUGCAGCUAACUAACCUCACACAUGCUGGUCUAUUCGGUCACACGAUGCUGGUCGGCUCCGGCCGCACGCACGCAGGGCUCAUUCACCAUGGGCAUGGUGCGGCACCAGCGUCCGGACUCGAUCAACACGCGCACACGUGCUGAUCAUCAUUGUGACGUGGCUUAUUCGUAAUAUUCUCCCUCUAAGCCAUGACCUCGUCAUCAGCUCCCGUCGUUGCCGUCGUCAUGAGCGUGAUCCAGCCCGCGGGCCUGACCUGGCGCAACGACGCCGGUCGCACCGUGCUCCAUCACGACUCCGGCGACACACGCCGAGCUCCUUCUCCGCCGGUGACACACGCCUGAUGUCCCUCGACGCCCCGCACGUCCCGUGCGCACCCGACGCGCCCGACCGCCCCAGUGCGCCCCGCACGUCCCGCGCGCACCCGACGCGCCCGAUGAGCCCGAUCACACCAGUGCAUCCCGCGCGUCCCGCGCGCAUCCGACACGCCCGACGAGCCCGACCGCACUAGAUACUCACCGCGCGCCCGCGGUCCUGACGCGCCCGACGCGUCCAGUGCGCACCCAUAACACGCACCGGUCGCGUCCGGCUCCAUGCGCUGCGCCGCCGAGGCCUCUAUGCCUCCAUGCAGUGCCUCCACGCCGUCACGCCACCACGCAGCGCCUCCGCGGCCUCCGCGGUCGCCGCACAUACGACGUCACCGCCCGCCGCCUCCGCCACGCGCCACGACAGCCACAACGCCGCCCACCUCCAUGGGCUGACACACGGCCCGGAGCUCUGUCGUGCAGCUGCCGGUGAGCGCCGCCAUCGCUGCCACGCCUCCGGCACGGCAAGCACGCCCAAGACACCAAGCUCAUGAUACCAAUUGUUGGCGCAGCCCUAGAACUACCUCUCUCUCACACUCGCUCGCACGUAGGUGAAAGGAGAGGGACAUAGAUAUUUCCAGCGCACAUACGUCCCGCCGCACGAACGGCCUAAUAUUUUCAUUGAGCACGAACUCUGGCUCGGCACAUAAUAUUUUCAUUGAGCACGAACUCUGGCUCGGCACAUACGGCAGCCACACCCACACGAAAGACUACGAGAGACUACAUCUCUCCUAGGUCCUCUCUCUUGACCUCGCAGCCGAGUACACUUUAUAUAGCACAUCCACGCACACAGGCCAGUGGCCACACACACCUAACUCACACACGCAUGCACCACAACGGUCACUACCGCAUGACCCGGCCACCACGUUGGCACCUACUUCCUGGAAUAUCUCCAUGACCCAGCUAAGCAACUAACAGUCAUACAUGCAGCUAACUAACCUCACG
RNAcentral lists this long non-coding RNA (1699 nucleotides) under Triticum aestivum (bread wheat). RNAcentral describes it as "long non-coding RNA (TAES_LNC026912)". Lineage: Eukaryota; Viridiplantae; Streptophyta; Magnoliopsida; Poales; Poaceae. The record is from RNAcentral.